GACGAACGCUGGCGGCGUGCUUAACACAUGCAAGUCGAACGGAAAGGCCCUGCUUUUGUGGGGUGCUCGAGUGGCGAACGGGUGAGUAACACGUGAGUAACCUGCCCUUGACUUUGGGAUAACUUCAGGAAACUGGGGCUAAUACCGGAUAGGAGCUCCUGCUGCAUGGUGGGGGUUGGAAAGUUUCGGCGGUUGGGGAUGGACUCGCGGCUUAUCAGCUUGUUGGGGGGGUAGUGGCUUACCAAGGCUUUGACGGGUAGCCGGCCUGAGAGGGUGACCGGCCACAUUGGGACUGAGAUACGGCCCAGACUCCUACGGGAGGCAGCAGUGGGGAAUAUUGCACAAUGGGCGGAAGCCUGAUGCAGCAACGCCGCGUGCGGGAUGACGGCCUUCGGGUUGUAACCCGCUUUCGCCUGUGACGAAGCGUGAGUGACGGUAAUGGGUAAAGAAGCACCGGCUAACUACGUG
This 468-nucleotide ribosomal RNA is filed under the name uncultured bacterium. RNAcentral's name for it is "partial 16S ribosomal RNA". It matches the Rfam family "Bacterial small subunit ribosomal RNA", at positions 28 to 507 of the family's 1533-position model. The record is from RNAcentral.